CUGAGAUACAGUCUUGCUCUGUUGCCCAGGCUGGUCUCAAACUCCUGGGCUCAAUGAUCCUCCCACCUCAGCCUCCCAAAUAGCAUGGCCCAUAACUUUUAGUGGGCAGAUACACAAUAGAAUAUUGUACACUGUGGUUGCAAUGUCUGGAACUGAAUUUGUCCACGCUCCCCUCCUGCCUCAAUUCCUCAACAAAGACAGGCUUAUUCUGAACCCUGCCAUCAUGGAGUGCCCGGGAAGGCAUUUUUCUCACAUGGUUUCCUUGCUUGCCCCAUCACAAUACCAGUGACCUUCUCACUUCGAGUAAAAGGAAUGACCCAUUUUCUAAGUUCAGGGGGCUUAGAAGUGAGCAGACAACAUCUUCUACUGGUUUACCCUUAGCUGCUCUAGGUGAUCGCUGAGCACCUCCUCACCAACACAUCACUUCAUUGCUUCCCUCUUGAACCCUGAGCCGUCGUUCCACUGGUCCUGGGCCUAAUCCUCUCCCUGUAUGGUCUACCAGGUUGCAGACUUUAAAAGAAGCAUGCCAUUUCAUCUCCAGCAUCAACGAGCCAUUUAUAGUUCUUCUCUUUCUACUUCUCCCUGCUUACACGGUGUGAAAGUCAUAACCCUAUAAAUAGCCCUGCAUGCAGAGUCUUGAGCUUUGGAAUCAGGCUCCCUCUGAGUUCAAAUCCUGGUUACUGAACUCUGAAUGCCUCAGUUUCUUCAUAUGCAAAAUGGGGAAAUCAUGGUAAGCACCGACUUGAAUCAUUCUGAGCAUUGAACGAAAUAUUGCUUACAAAGUGUUUAGAGCAAAGCUCAGCACAUGGUAAAUGUUAGCUGUUCUUAGUACAGGAACCAGAUUUUUGAGUGACAUCCUCAUGUUUUUAAGGGGGCAACGUGGCGGGGCCCACUUUCCCACUGAUGAGGCGUCCCGAUCCAGCCCUUUCCUUGCCACCUCGGGUGCUUGAAUGUUUUUAUCUGUCUCCACCUUACCACGAGCAAUUGAGCUAAUUCUACAAGCAAGAGAUAUACAAACACCAAGGGCUUCGUGACAAAGCACGAAAUAUCCUAACAGCCAAGGACAGCUGACGGUUGCAGGAGGCUCCCCAGGACGUGGAAAACCCUGUGUAAGCAGGAAGUGCUGUGACCAUUCCAGGCUGAGCCUCCUGCGCCCUAGUGUAUUUUGUUUUCCAAAGAACCUUUCAGACAAGAUGACCCUUCUGACUCCUGCCUCCUUUACUGCCCCAAUGACCUGGGUUGGGCAGUAAGACUUAGAAGGGUUUGCAGGCAUCCCCUCUUUAUUUGUUUGUUCCUUAAGCUUGGAAUCAUCUAAGUAGCAUUUUAGCAAGCCCCUAUUCUGAAACCCAAAUUGGGUCAUCCAACUCAGCAGAGCCCCGCGAGACUAAGAAACCUAGGGAAAUGGGACUGAUAAUAAACUCCAGUCC
RNAcentral lists this long non-coding RNA (1427 nucleotides) under Homo sapiens (human). RNAcentral's name for it is "HSALNT0388533". The record is from RNAcentral. Lineage: Eukaryota; Metazoa; Chordata; Mammalia; Primates; Hominidae.